GACGAACGCUGGCGGCGUGCUUAAUACAUGCAAGUCGAACGGAAAGGCCCUGCUUUUGUGGGGUGCUCGAGUGGCGAACGGGUGAGUAACACGUGAGUAACCUGCCCUUGACUUUGGGAUAACUUCAGGAAACUGGGGCUAAUACCGGAUAGGAGCUCCUGCUGCAUGGUGGGGGUUGGAAAGUUUCGGCGGUUGGGGAUGGACUCGCGGCUUAUCAGCUUGUUGGUGGGGUAGUGGCUUACCAAGGCUUUGACGGGUAGCCGGCCUGAGAGGGUGACCGGCCACAUUGGGACUGAGAUACGGCCCAGACUCCUACGGGAGGCAGCAGUGGGGAAUAUUGCACAAUGGGCGGAAGCCUGAUGCAGCAACGCCGCGUGCGGGAUGACGGCCUUCGGGUUGUAAACCGCUUGCGCCUGUGACGAAGCGUGAGUGACGGUAAUGGGUAAAGAAGCACCGGCUAACUACGUG
This 468-nucleotide ribosomal RNA is filed under the name uncultured bacterium. RNAcentral's name for it is "partial 16S ribosomal RNA". It matches the Rfam family "Bacterial small subunit ribosomal RNA", at positions 28 to 507 of the family's 1533-position model. The record is from RNAcentral.